RNAcentral lists this long non-coding RNA (1115 nucleotides) under Homo sapiens (human). RNAcentral describes it as "HSALNT0375216". The record is from RNAcentral. Lineage: Eukaryota; Metazoa; Chordata; Mammalia; Primates; Hominidae.
GAAGUCAAAGUCCUUCCCUCUGUGUGUGGACUUCAGUGGAACUCUCAGGUCACAGAGAUUCAGGGUGGUCAGAGGCGGUUUGAUGUUUUGGGGAGAAAGAACAGCCGUGAAGGAUUCUGUGAUGCAGGAGAAGGUGGGAGGCCUCAGGACAGAAUCAGCAGGUCACCAUGCUUUCCUGCGUCAUCCACCUGUGGGCCUCUAAUGUGUUUCUAUGAAGUUUGCAUUAAAGUUUCAGCCACUAUUUUUCAGAAACAUGGUCAACCUCUCCUUCCCUCCUCUAUCUGCUGAUAGAGUUCUACAGAAAACAAGGGAAUGACUUGAGGAGGACUAAGCCAGUGGAUCACAAACAUCCUGGAGAGCAGUGACUCUGUGAUUCCAUCACAAGAAUAUGAAGGACUGAGAAGAUCUCCAGCUCUGCCCAUUGCACCUUCCCAUUGAGAAGCAGCAUGGCACCCUGGUGGCAGGGGCUGAUACUCAGCCGGGCCAGGGUGCUCUCCUGUUAACCAUAACCAAGCUCACAGGACAUGGGAUGAGCCCACUGUGUGACACAGGGAGCGGGACACAGUCUGUUAAGUCUUGCACAGCCAUGCUCUGCCACGCAGGCAGGCCUUUCCUUGGCCUCCCUCUCCCUGUUCGUGCUCAUGUGAACAUCCACCUACGUGGAUAGACUGGGCUUUGGUUCAUUAUUGCUCUGUGAAUUCCUCGAACUUCCGCAUCUGCCCAACCUCCCCCACCCCAUUGUUUUCAUUGUGUUUCACCAAAUGGAAAUUCUAGAGUAAGCAUGUGAGUCCUCUCCCAAACUUGUUCACUGUUGAGAGUGCUAAAAUGCUAACCCCAGAUGCUAACUGAGGGGUAGGGUUACCUUAUCUUUAGAGCACUGCGAAUUGUAUGUUAAGUGGAACUUAAUGAAAAAAUAGUUAAUUGACCAACAUGAAUAUCCCCUGAACAGAAUCUCCCCUGAACAGAAUCCUACAAUGAAACUAAGGGAGAUAAAUAAAGCUGUUUACCUGAAAGCUCUCUCUAAUCAAGAUCCUUUGAAAUUUAUAAAACAUGGUCAAUAUUUGCACUGGACUUUGUAAAAAUAAAGCUUGAUAAGAGAAGAGUUUGAAGUGAAA